Athene cunicularia (burrowing owl) is the source of this 124-nucleotide long non-coding RNA. RefSeq lists it as uncharacterized. Lineage: Eukaryota; Metazoa; Chordata; Aves; Strigiformes; Strigidae. The record is from RefSeq and is a predicted model, not a curated record. The transcript has 3 exons.
GUCAAGUUGAAGUGGUUUUUUUCACAUGUAGAAAGAGCAAAAGAGACAAUAUUUGGGUAAAGAACAAACGACUACCUAAAUACAUGAUGAGCCUUAGGAAGUGGCUGAUUCAGUAAAAUGUGCU